CACCGAAGCCUGCGGCAGUUUUGCUGUUAGGCAAUGUGGUGUUUGGGUCGGCUAGUAGGAUUGCCACUCCACUCGAAGUCCAGCAUUGAGUAUGGUCUCUGGAUUUGGCCCUUAGAGGGUGAAAGGCCCGUACGGGUGGAGGUUUCAGAUAUGAAGGGCAAUUCACCAGGCCGGCCUUAGAGUCGGGUUGUUUGAGAAUGCAGCCCAAAGCGGGUGGUAAACUCCAUCCAAGGCUAAAUACUAGCACGAGUCCGAUAGCAAACAAGUACCGUGAGGGAAAGUUGAAAAGUACUCUGAAGAGAGAGUAAACAGUACGUGAAACCGCAUGCAGGUAAACGGGUGGCGUCAAGCUGCACGCCCGGAGAAUUCAGCCGGCUAGGGUGUAGUGUAUGCGCCUGUCGCGUCCAUCGGUCAGAAUAGAAUUGAACAGUCCACUGGCAUACGGUGGGCCCAGCUGCAAGGUUGGGAUGUGUGUACCGAGCGGAAGCCGGAGCAUGCUGUUUGUCUGUUGGACCGUCUAGCCGGUGCACUUUCUCUGUGGCGGACACCACGACCGGUGGUACUGCCAGUCUGCUGUAGUCGAGUCGUGUUGAGUCGGUCCUCGUGACCAACUGGAUGCGAUCACAGGCAAUUUCAGUGAACGGCGUAGGUGUGCCUCGGCAUGCCUGCGUGCUACCGGCUACUGGUUGUGAACGGGCCUACCCGAUGUGGUGCAAGCCUAUUGGGUGGUCUGGUGGACUACGGUGGUAAGAAUAACUGUGCAGGGCACCGGUGUUCUCGGCCUCAAGUGCAACUCGCAUCCACCUUGCGUAUGUGUGCAUGGGGUGCUACUGCAGCCUGCCUGUUUUUUGUUGGGUUCGAUUGUCGUGUCGCCUGCAUAAAGUGGGCCCGGCGAUAGCCUGAUGCAGGAUGGAGCUGUGCCUGGUAGCAAUGCCUCUAGCGUGCGAGUUGCGGUGGGCCUAAUAGUCAGUGGUGUAGUGGUAGAUCAGCCACCCGACCCGUCUUGAAACACGGACCAAGGAGUUUAACAUGUAUGCAAGUCGUAGGGUCCUACGAAACCUGAAGGCGCAAUGAAAGUGAAGCUUCGACUUGUUCUCGGAGUGAGGUGAGAUCCUGCCGUUACUCGCAUCAAUUCUGCCAGUGGCAGGUUAAGAGCGGCAGGCGCAUCACCGGCCCGUCUUAUGAUGUGGUCAUUGGA
This 1198-nucleotide ribosomal RNA is filed under the name Zyxibothrium duffyi. Its description in RNAcentral is "partial large subunit ribosomal RNA". It matches the Rfam family "Eukaryotic large subunit ribosomal RNA", at positions 112 to 788 of the family's 3401-position model. The record is from RNAcentral. Lineage: Eukaryota; Metazoa; Platyhelminthes; Cestoda; Phyllobothriidea; Phyllobothriidae.